Molecule: non-coding RNA, 254 nt
Filed under: Pelodiscus sinensis (Chinese soft-shelled turtle)
Lineage: Eukaryota; Metazoa; Chordata; Testudines; Trionychidae
Description: Eukaryotic large subunit ribosomal RNA
Rfam family: Eukaryotic large subunit ribosomal RNA
Source: Rfam by way of RNAcentral
ACAGCUAGCUUUGGAAUUCUUCUGCAGCCAGGGCUGGAUUAAGGCUGAGUUCAAGAGGGCGUGAAACCGUUAAGAGGUAAACAGGUGGGAUCCGCGCAGCCCAUGGACAGUGUGAGGCUGGUAGCGGCCCCCGGUGCACCGGGACCGGGUCUUCUUGGAGUCGGGUUGCUUGGGAAUGCAGCCCAAAGUGGGUGGUAAACUCCAUCUAAGGCUAAAUACCGGCACAAGACCGAUAGUCAACUGGUCUCUUGUGG